This 440-nucleotide ribosomal RNA is filed under the name uncultured bacterium. Its description in RNAcentral is "partial 16S ribosomal RNA". It matches the Rfam family "Bacterial small subunit ribosomal RNA", at positions 338 to 795 of the family's 1533-position model. The record is from RNAcentral.
CCUACGGGGGGCUGCAGUAGGGAAUAUUGCUCAAUGGGGGAAACCCUGAAGCAGCAACGCCGCGUGGAGGAUGAAGGUUUUCGGAGUGUAAACUCCUUUUGUUAGAGAAGAUAAUGACGGUAUCUAACGAAUAAGCACCGGCUAACUCCGUGCCAGCAGCCGCGGUAAUACGGAGGGUGCAAGCGUUACUCGGAAUCACUGGGCGUAAAGAGCGCGUAGGCGGGGUAGCAAGUCAGAUGUGAAAUCCUGUGGCUUAACCCUAGAACUGCAUUUGAAACUGUUAUUCUAGAGUAUGGGAGAGGUAGGUGGAAUUCUUGGUGUAGGGGUAAAAUCCGUAGAGAUCAAGAGGAACACUCAUUGCGAAGGCGACCUGCUAGAAUAUAACUGACGUUGAGGCACGAAAGCGUGGGGAGCAAACAGGAUUAGAUACCCGAGUAGUC